CAAGUAAGCUGGACAGCCGCGCCUGCGGGGCGAAAGGCCCGCAGGUGAGGAAAGUCCGGGCUCCACAGGGCAGGGAUAACGGGUAACACCCGCCGGGGGCGACCCUAGGAAAAGUGCAACAGAAAUAGACCGCCUGUAUCGACAGGUAAGGAUGGAAAGGCGAGGUAAGAGCUCACCCAAUGGCGUGUCAAGCGUCCAUUGCUGUAAACUCUAUCCCGGAGCAACGCCGUGGAGGGACAAACAGGCCGGCCCGGCCGUCCCAGGGAGGCGGCUUGAGCGCACUGGCAACCGUGCGCCUAGAUAGAUGGCUGUCUUAAAGGACAGAACCCGGCUUACAGGCUUACUUGCACC
Molecule: RNase P RNA, 351 nt
Filed under: Flavonifractor sp.
Lineage: Bacteria; Bacillati; Bacillota; Clostridia; Eubacteriales; Oscillospiraceae
Description: RNase P RNA component class A
Rfam family: Bacterial RNase P class A
About the family: Ribonuclease P (RNase P) is a ubiquitous endoribonuclease, found in archaea, bacteria and eukarya as well as chloroplasts and mitochondria. Its best characterised activity is the generation of mature 5'-ends of tRNAs by cleaving the 5'-leader elements of precursor-tRNAs.
Source: RNAcentral